Long non-coding RNA from Cyprinodon tularosa, 797 nucleotides. RefSeq lists it as uncharacterized. Lineage: Eukaryota; Metazoa; Chordata; Actinopteri; Cyprinodontiformes; Cyprinodontidae. The transcript is spliced from 3 exons. The record is from RefSeq and is a predicted model, not a curated record.
CCAACUUCAAGAUCCUUGCAUCUACUACCUGUAUACCUUAGCCCUCCAAUAAAGCUGCACUCUCAUGUGGUUGUACUUAGGUAUUUUCAGGCACUGUCUUCACUACCUUUGCCAGAUCAUCAUAAAGUUCCCACAUACAGUACAUGGAGCUCUUCGGCAGUAGGCAGUGUAAUGUCCAAGACCGUGUUUGGUUGAGCUAGCCUUGAAAGCGAUCACUCCUUUUAAGGGUCGCCAAAUUUGGGAGGUGACUUGGUUCAGGAUCUCCAAUAUCCAUCAAUUCCGAUGCCUUUGCUGACCUCCAUACAGCCGGCUCCAUCCUGCCCUCACACAGCUCUUUUGAAAUUUGAUCCAUUCCUCAAAAGGGACUUCAAUCUGAAAACAUGAGCAGCUGCCUACUCCUGAAGAAAUAGAGCCAGAGUCAAACUCAUGACCAGAUGUUAUGUCUGUUUAACUUUACGAAAGUGUACACAGCUUUUGGAGACAUCUUGUUUUCCAGCUGCUGACUUAAUUCAGUCCAAAUAGCAGCAGCAGGAGUGGCUAUUUUGCCAUUUAGAAGGAUGGCCUCUUUUGAAUUGCAGACAACUGCAAAAAGGGAAUCCCUGUCUACUGAUGGCUUUCGAGGUAUCUCGUUGAAGGAUAAAAAGAAUUUGAUUAGCAUUAAUACAAAUAUUCUGACAUAUAGAAUUCUGCUACAACUAAAAACUUCAGUUUAAAUUACUGUUCUUCCCUAAAUCAAUAUGCCUUUUAUGCUUAAUUGUAAUUAUAGUCUGUUUUUUGGUUAUUGCACAUAUAGCAUU